AUUGAACGCUGGUGGCAUGCCUUACACAUGCAAGUCGAACGGUAACAGGUCUUCGGAUGCUGACGAGUGGCGAACGGGUGAGUAAUACAUCGGAACGUGCCUAGUAGUGGGGGAUAACUACUCGAAAGAGUGGCUAAUACCGCAUGAGAUCUACGGAUGAAAGCAGGGGAUCGCGAGACCUUGUGCUACUAGAGCGGCCGAUGGCAGAUUAGGUAGUUGGUGGGAUAAAAGCUUACCAAGCCGACGAUCUGUAGCUGGUCUGAGAGGACGAUCAGCCACACUGGGACUGGGACACGGCCCAGACUCCUACGGGAGGCAGCAGUGGGGAAUUUUGGACAAUGGGCAAAAGCCUGAUCCAGCAAUGCCGCGUGCAGGAUGAAGGCCUUCGGGUUGUAAACUGCUUUUGUACGGAACGAAAAGCCCCGGGUUAAUACCCUGGGGUCAUGACGGUACCGUAAGAAUAAGCACCGGCUAACUACGUGCCAGCAGCAGCCGCAG
RNAcentral lists this ribosomal RNA (498 nucleotides) under uncultured bacterium. Its description in RNAcentral is "partial 16S ribosomal RNA". It matches the Rfam family "Bacterial small subunit ribosomal RNA", at positions 30 to 523 of the family's 1533-position model. The record is from RNAcentral.